This 274-nucleotide ribosomal RNA is filed under the name uncultured bacterium. RNAcentral's name for it is "partial 16S ribosomal RNA". It matches the Rfam family "Bacterial small subunit ribosomal RNA", at positions 523 to 796 of the family's 1533-position model. The record is from RNAcentral.
AUACGGAGGGUGCGAGCGUUAAUCGGAAUUACUGGGCGUAAAGCGUACGUAGGCGGUUGGUUAAGUUAGAUGUGAAAGCCCCGGGCUUAACCUGGGAACUGCAUUUAAAACUGACGAACUAGAGUUGAGUAGAGGGGAGUGGAAUUUCAGGUGUAGCGGUGAAAUGCGUAGAGAUCUGAAGGAACACCAGUGGCGAAGGCGGCUCCCUGGACUCGAACUGACGCUGAGGUACGAAAGCGUGGGUAGCAAACGGGAUUAGAAACCCUAGUAGUCC